ACACACGUGCUACAAUGGUCGGUACAAAGGGUUGCCAAGCCGCGAGGUGGAGCUAAUCCCAUAAAACCGAUCGUAGUCCGGAUCGCAGUCUGCAACUCGACUGCGUGAAGUCGGAAUCGCUAGUAAUCGUGAAUCAGAAUGUCACGGUGAAUACGUUCCCGGGCCUUGUACACACCGCCCGUCACACCAUGGGAGUGGGUUGCUCCAGAAGUAGCUAGUCUAACCGCAAGGGGGACGGUUACCACGGAGUGAUUCAUGACUGGGGUGAAGUCGUAACAAGGUAGCCGUAGGGGAACCUGCGGUUGG
Molecule: ribosomal RNA, 306 nt
Filed under: Pseudomonas aeruginosa
Lineage: Bacteria; Pseudomonadati; Pseudomonadota; Gammaproteobacteria; Pseudomonadales; Pseudomonadaceae
Description: bacterial SSU rRNA
Rfam family: Bacterial small subunit ribosomal RNA
Source: RNAcentral